AAGACUAGACUUUCAGGGGUCAUUUCUAUAGUUUGCUACUAGAGAACGUGUAGAGAACCUGAAACCAUGAGGAGGGCGCACUGUCCCUUCCUGAGCAUGAAGCUGACUCCACUGGGAGUUUUUUUUGCAGUUGCCCUUUGUCAUUGAUGAUCAUUCUUCUCCUUCGGAGAAGCUAGAGGGAAGGCAUGCUGUCUGAGUAAA
Molecule: small nucleolar RNA, 201 nt
Organism: Ailuropoda melanoleuca (giant panda)
Lineage: Eukaryota; Metazoa; Chordata; Mammalia; Carnivora; Ursidae
Gene: U3
Rfam family: Small nucleolar RNA U3
About the family: Small nucleolar RNAs (snoRNAs) are involved in the processing and modification of rRNA in the nucleolus.
Source: Ensembl